RNAcentral lists this ribosomal RNA (497 nucleotides) under uncultured bacterium. Its description in RNAcentral is "partial 16S ribosomal RNA". It matches the Rfam family "Bacterial small subunit ribosomal RNA", at positions 28 to 507 of the family's 1533-position model. The record is from RNAcentral.
GAUGAACGCUGGCGGCGUGCCUAAUACAUGCAAGUCGAGCGAACGGACGAGAAGCUUUCUCCUCUGAUGUUAGCGGCGGACGGGGGAGUAACACGUGGAUAACCUCCCUAUAAGACUGGGAUAACUUCGGGAAACCGGGGCUAAUACCGGUUGAUAUUUUGAACCGCAUGGUUCAGAAGUGAAAGACGGUUUUGCUGUCUCUAAUAUAUGCAUCCGCGCUGCAUUAUCUAGUUGGGAAGGUAACGGCUCACCAAGGCAACGAUGCAUAGCCGACCGGAGAGGUGGUUCGCCAACACGGGAACGGGGAAACGGUCAAAACUCCUACGGGAGGCAGCAGUAGGGAAUCUUCCGCAAGGGGCGAAAGCCUGACGGAGCAACGCCGCGUGAGGGAGGAAGGUCUUCGGAUCGUAAAACUCUGUUAUUGGGAAGGAACAUAUGUGGAAGUAACUGCGCACAUCGUGACGGUACCUAAUCAGAAAGCCACGGCUAACUACGUG